This 117-nucleotide small nuclear RNA is filed under the name Fukomys damarensis (Damara mole-rat). RNAcentral describes it as "U2 spliceosomal RNA". It matches the Rfam family "U2 spliceosomal RNA", at positions 1 to 78 of the family's 192-position model. Rfam says of the family: U2 is a small nuclear RNA (snRNA) component of the spliceosome (involved in pre-mRNA splicing). Complementary binding between U2 snRNA (in an area lying towards the 5' end but 3' to hairpin I) and the branchpoint sequence (BPS) of the intron results the bulging out of an unpaired adenosine, on the BPS, which initiates a nucleophilic attack at the intronic 5' splice site, thus starting the first of two transesterification reactions that mediate splicing. The record is from Rfam by way of RNAcentral. Lineage: Eukaryota; Metazoa; Chordata; Mammalia; Rodentia; Bathyergidae.
AUCAUUUCUUGGUCUUUUGGCUAAGAUCAAGUAUAGCAUCUGUUCUUAGCACUUUAAAAUAAUUACCGCCAUGGAUUUAGCUCAGUGGCGAGCUCAGUGGCGCUAGUGUGACCCCUG